GACGAACGCUGGCGGCGUGCUUAACACAUGCAAGUCGAACGGAAAGGCCCUGCUUUUGUGGGGUGCUCGAGUGGCGAACGGGUGAGUAACACGUGAGUAACCUGCCCUUGACUUUGGGAUAACUUCAGGAAACUGGGGCUAAUACCGGAUAGGAGCUCCUGCUGCAUGGUGGGGGUUGGAAAGUUUCGGCGGUUGGGGAUGGACUCGCGGCUUAUCAGCUUGUUGGUGGGGUAGUGGCUUACCAAGGCUUUGACGGGUAGCCGGCCUGAGAGGGUGACCGGCCACAUUGGGACUGAGAUACGGCCCAGACUCCAACGGGAGGCAGCAGUGGGAAAUAUUGCACAAUGGGCGGAAGCCUGAUGCAGCAACGCCGCGUGCGGGAUGACGGCCUUCGGGUUGUAAACCGCUUUCGCCUGUGACGAAGCGUGAGUGACGGUAAUGAGUAAAGAAGCACCGGCUAACUACGUG
This 468-nucleotide ribosomal RNA is filed under the name uncultured bacterium. RNAcentral describes it as "partial 16S ribosomal RNA". It matches the Rfam family "Bacterial small subunit ribosomal RNA", at positions 28 to 507 of the family's 1533-position model. The record is from RNAcentral.